This 771-nucleotide ribosomal RNA is filed under the name Triticum aestivum (bread wheat). Its description in RNAcentral is "partial small subunit ribosomal RNA". The record is from RNAcentral. Lineage: Eukaryota; Viridiplantae; Streptophyta; Magnoliopsida; Poales; Poaceae.
AUGAGUUGCUUCCAGCUCACCAAGAAAUUGUGCGGGAACCUGACAUCUAUCUCUUCUAACUUUUGGUGGGGAGAAGCAAAUGGUGAGAAGAAGGUUCACUGGAUUGCGUGGAAGAAAAUGUGUGAGAGUAAGCAGGAAGGAGGGAUGGGUUUUCGAGAUAUGGAAGCUUUCAACCAAGCCUUACUCGCCAAGCAAGCUUGGAGAUUACUGCAGGUCCCGUAUUCUCUGUGUGGGCGCGUCCUCAAGGCACAUUACUAUGAUCAUGGUACAAUUCUCAAUGCGACAUGUCCAAGUGGAGCAUCAUAUACUUUCAAAAGUAUUGUGCAUGGUCGGAACUUGCUCCUGGAUGGUCUUAUAUGGAGAGUGGGCGACGGCCCUUCCAUACGCAUCCACCAUGAUAGUUGGAUCCCUCGCAAAGGUUACCUAAGGCCACUGGGCCAGGUGUUCAUACCAGGGAUAACGAGGGUGAGCGAUCUUCUAAACAACGAGUCCACAGGGUGGGAUCGGCAGAAGCUACAAACUAUGUUCACGGAAGAUGACGUUCAGGAUAUUAUGCAGAUUUGUGUGGGUGGUCCGGGCGCAGAAGACACUUUGGCAUGGAACUUUACGAAGAACGGACAAUUUUCAGUGAAGUCGGCUUAUCAUCUUUGCAUGCAAAAGAAGAAAGCGAGAGCAGCACAGCCUGCCUCGUCCUCAACGGCGGUGAACCACAGGAGUUGGCUGGCGCUUUGGGCCUCCAAUGCGCCGGGUAAGGUGUUGAUCCAUGUGUAG